CAUGCAAGUCGAACGAACCUUCGGGUUAGUGGCGGACGGGUGAGUAACGCGUGAGAAUCUGCCCUCAGGAGGGGGAUAACGGUUGGAAACGACCGCUAAUACCCCAUAUGCCUACUGGUGAAACGAAUUUCGCCUGAGGAUGAGCUCGCGUCUGAUUAGCUAGUUGGUGAGGUAAUGGCUCACCAAGGCUUCGAUCAGUAGCUGGUCUGAGAGGAUGAUCAGCCACACUGGGACUGAGACACGGCCCAGACUCCUACGGGAGGCAGCAGUGGGGAAUUUUCCGCAAUGGGCGAAAGCCUGACGGAGCAACGCCGCGUGAGGGACGAAGGCCUCUGGGCUGUAAACCUCUUUUCUCAAGGAAGAAGAUAUGACGGUACUUGAGGAAUAAGCCACGGCUAAUUCCGUGCCAGCAGCCGCGGUAAUACGGGAGUGGCAAGCGUUAUCCGGAAUUAUUGGGCGUAAAGCGUCCGCAGGCGGCUUUUCAAGUCUGCUGUUAAAGCGUGGAGCUUAACUCCAUCAUGGCAGUGGAAACUGAAAGGCUUGAGUAUGGUAGGGGCAGAGGGAAUUCCCGGUGUAGCGGUGAAAUGCGUAGAUAUCGGGAAGAACACCAGUGGCGAAGGCGCUCUGCUGGGCCAUUACUGACGCUCAUGGACGAAAGCCAGGGGAGCGAAAGGGAUUAGAUACCCCUGUAGUCCUGGCCGUAAACGAUGAACACUAGGUGUCGGGGGAAUCGACCCCUUCGGUGUCGUAGCUAACGCGUUAAGUGUUCCGCCUGGGGAGUACGCACGCAAGUGUGAAACUCAAAGGAAUUGACGGGGGCCCGCACAAGCGGUGGAGUAUGUGGUUUAAUUCGAUGCAACGCGAAGAACCUUACCAGGGUUUGACAUCCUGCGAACCUCUAGAAAUUUGAGGGUGCCUUCGGGAAUGCAGUGACAGGUGUGCAUGCUGUCGUCAGCUCGUGUCGUGAGAUGUGGAUAGUCCCGCACGAGCGCAUCCACGUUUUAGUGCAGCAUUUAGUGGUACUCUAGAAAGACGCGUGAUAAUCGAGAAAGGGUGGAUGACGUCAAGCAUCAUGUCCUACACCCUGGCUACCACGUACUACAUGUACGACAAAGGAGCAAACUCCGGGAGGCUAGAGAAAAUCCAUAAACCGGGUGCUGACAUCAUCUAUCCAUGAGGCUGCUGGCA
RNAcentral lists this ribosomal RNA (1188 nucleotides) under uncultured Prochlorococcus sp. Its description in RNAcentral is "bacterial SSU rRNA". It matches the Rfam family "Bacterial small subunit ribosomal RNA", at positions 54 to 1324 of the family's 1533-position model. The record is from RNAcentral. Lineage: Bacteria; Bacillati; Cyanobacteriota; Cyanophyceae; Synechococcales; Prochlorococcaceae.